Molecule: long non-coding RNA, 615 nt
Filed under: Phoenix dactylifera (date palm)
Lineage: Eukaryota; Viridiplantae; Streptophyta; Magnoliopsida; Arecales; Arecaceae
Description: long non-coding RNA (PDAC_LNC020490)
Source: RNAcentral
GGCUGUCCAUCCAAUCAGAAAUCUGCUAGACUUAAAGCGAAGGCUGAGUGUGGGUCGCCGUUGCUUUGGAUAUCUACAUCCAGCAAUACCAGGUCAGUUUAAUGGCUAUAUGAGUUGAUUUGAUGUUUUCCUUGGAAAGCAGCUGGACUCAUGGCUUGCUGCUUUAACAAGAAAACUAUUAAGGUUUUGAUCUUAAGAAGUUUUUGUCAUGCUUCGAACUCAAAGCGUAACAGGCACCGCAUACCUGCAUGGCAGACUAUACAAGCAUGCAAGGCUACAAAUCAUAUCAAAGCAAUAAUGAUUCUUGAAAAAUAAUUUAAUCAAGAUCUUAUAUAUAUAGUUUUUACAACAAUCAUUCCAAAGUGACAUAAGUCAACAUAUGCUUAACUAUUUACUCAAAUAAAAUAAAAUAUUCUAACUAGUCUAAAUAGUCUAACUAGAACUGAGAAUAUCUUCAGAAGAUCUAGCGCACUCUCUCAAGUCUCAAGCAAUCAUGAAUUUGGAUAUGAAAAAUAGAGAAAGAAGAAACAAUGAGCUACACUAGCCCAGUAAGCAACAUAACACCCCAAAGUGGGGUCUAAGCAAAUCAAAUAAUUAGUUAAAGAGCAAAAUAUC